ACGAACGCUGGCGGCGUGCCUCAAACAUGCAAGUCGAGCGGGGUUCUGGAAGUGGGCGACCACGGAAGGGACCUAGCGGCGGACGGGUGAGUAACGCAUGGGUAAUCUGCCCAAGGGACCGGGAUAACACCUCGAAAGGGGUGCUAAUACCGGGUGACCCUGGUGCUCCGAGUGGGGGACCAGGGAUAGGUGGCCUCUUGACAAUGCUACUGCCCUUGGAUGAGCCCGCGUCCCAUUAGCUAGUUGGCGGGGUAAAGGCCCACCAAGGCGACGAUGGGUAGCCG
RNAcentral lists this ribosomal RNA (284 nucleotides) under uncultured bacterium. RNAcentral's name for it is "partial 16S ribosomal RNA". It matches the Rfam family "Bacterial small subunit ribosomal RNA", at positions 29 to 289 of the family's 1533-position model. The record is from RNAcentral.